GGGCAUGUUGGUUCGGCUAAAUAUUGGAUCAGUAGCAUAUUUAGUGAACCUAGGGUGGUUUGAGUAUAUACUAAGGCGACUAAAAGGGGUAAUGAUCCAGCUAGGGUGUAGAAGAGAAAAUAAAUUCCAGCAUUUAGUCGUUCUGUUUGACCCCCUCAUCGAGUAAUAAUGAUCAGAGUGGGGACUAGUGUGGCUUCAAAUAAAAUGUAAAAUAUAAUUAGUUCGGUGGCAGAGAAAGUUAUGAUUAAGAAAAUUUGGAGUAAAAUUAUUAUGGUAAUAUAUAGUUUUUUUCGUGCGAGGGAUUCUUUAUUUAUAUGAUACUGGCUAGCAAUAAUUAUAAGCGGUAGAAGUCAAGUUGUUAGUAUUAGUAGAGGAGUUGACAGUGAGUCGGAGAAAAAUAAUAUGGAUAGGUUUAAGCUAUUGUCGCAGAAUUGAUUUAUUAGAGGUAAACACACUAUACUGAUUACUAGACUAUAAAUUGUUGAAUUGAUUCAUACUAUAUUACUUUUUGAUAGUCACGUAAGUGGAAUUAGUAUAAUUGUGGGGAUAAUAAUUUUUAGCAUUGAAGAAGAUUAAGGUUUUGUACAUAGUCGAUUCCAUAUGUGUUAGAUACGACCACUAGGAGGGAUAGUCCAAGUGCUGCUUCACAGGCUGCAAAUACUAAGAGAAUAAUAGGUAUUAUACUAGCCAGAGUUGUGUGAGUAAUAAGAAUUGUUACACUGGUAAGCACAAAGAGAGAGAGAG
Molecule: long non-coding RNA, 744 nt
Organism: Myotis davidii
Lineage: Eukaryota; Metazoa; Chordata; Mammalia; Chiroptera; Vespertilionidae
Exons: 3
Source: RefSeq, a predicted model, not a curated record